GGCUAGGCUUCCAUCUUCAUUGUAGCGGAAGGCGUUGAGGAAAGUGGUAACAAGAUGGAGAGAGUUACUAAGCUGCCGGUAAUCCUGACCAUGUUUCUGGUGGUCCUUGCCUGGGAUGUUGAAGGAGGAAGGACACUUAAAGUUGACCACCCACAAAACUACUUUGGAAGCUUUGGUGGAACUGGUUCAGUCAUCCCAAGCCCUUUUGGUCAUACCAUUGCCC
Molecule: unclassified non-coding RNA, 223 nt
Filed under: Hevea brasiliensis (rubber tree)
Lineage: Eukaryota; Viridiplantae; Streptophyta; Magnoliopsida; Malpighiales; Euphorbiaceae
Source: RNAcentral